Molecule: ribosomal RNA, 375 nt
Filed under: uncultured Alphaproteobacteria bacterium
Lineage: Bacteria; Pseudomonadati; Pseudomonadota; Alphaproteobacteria
Description: bacterial SSU rRNA
Rfam family: Bacterial small subunit ribosomal RNA
Source: RNAcentral
GAUCUCCUACGGGAGGCAGCAGUGGGGAAUCUUGGACAAUGGGGCAACCCUGAUCCAGCCAUGCCGCGUGAGUGAUGAAGGCCCUAGGGUCGUAAAGCUCUUUCGCCUGUGAAGAUAAUGACUGUAGCAGGUAAAGAAACCCCGGCUAACUCCGUGCCAGCAGCCGCGGUAAUACGGAGGGGGUUAGCGUUGUUCGGAAUUACUGGGCGUAAAGCGCGCGUAGGCGGACUGGAAAGUUGGGGGUGAAAUCCCAGGGCUCAACCCUGGAACUGCCUCCAAAACUAUCAGUCUAGAGUUCGAGAGAGGUGAGUGGAAUUCCGAGUGUAGAGGUGAAAUUCGUAGAUAUUCGGAGGAACACCAGUGGCGAAAGCGACA